GCCGGAGUGUCGAAAUCGGUAGCCGAUAGCGACUCAAAAUCGCUUGGGCGCAAGCCCGUGAGGGUUCGAGUCCCUCCUCCGGCA
RNAcentral lists this transfer RNA (84 nucleotides) under Actinomycetota bacterium. RNAcentral's name for it is "Actinobacteria bacterium tRNA-Leu". It matches the Rfam family "tRNA". From Rfam's summary of the family: Transfer RNA (tRNA) molecules are approximately 80 nucleotides in length. Lineage: Bacteria; Bacillati; Actinomycetota. The record is from RNAcentral.